This 125-nucleotide small RNA is filed under the name Marmota monax (woodchuck). The record is from RNAcentral. Lineage: Eukaryota; Metazoa; Chordata; Mammalia; Rodentia; Sciuridae.
GCCGGGCAUGGUGGCACGUGCCUGUAAUCCCAGCAGCUUGGGAAGCUGAGGCAGAAGAAUUGCGAGUUCAAAGCCAGCCUCCGCAAAAGCAUGGUGCUAAGCAACUCAGUGAGACCCUGCCUCUA